Molecule: ribosomal RNA, 791 nt
Filed under: uncultured Staphylococcus sp.
Lineage: Bacteria; Bacillati; Bacillota; Bacilli; Caryophanales; Staphylococcaceae
Description: bacterial SSU rRNA
Rfam family: Bacterial small subunit ribosomal RNA
Source: RNAcentral
ACGGACGAGAAGCUUGCUUCUCUGAUGUUAGCGGCGGACGGGUGAGUAACACGUGGAUAACCUACCUAUAAGACUGGGAUAACUUCGGGAAACCGGAGCUAAUACCGGAUAAUAUUUUGAACCGCAUGGUUCAAAAGUGAAAGACGGUCUUGCUGUCACUUAUAGAUGGAUCCGCGCUGCAUUAGCUAGUUGGUAAGGUAACGGCUUACCAAGGCAACGAUGCAUAGCCGACCUGAGAGGGUGAUCGGCCACACUGGAACUGAGACACGGUCCAGACUCCUACGGGAGGCAGCAGUAGGGAAUCUUCCGCAAUGGGCGAAAGCCUGACGGAGCAACGCCGCGUGAGUGAUGAAGGUCUUCGGAUCGUAAAACUCUGUUAUUAGGGAAGAACAUAUGUGUAAGUAACUGUGCGCAUCUUGACGGUACCUAAUCAGAAAGCCACGGCUAACUACGUGCCAGCAGCCGCGGUAAUACGUAGGUGGCAAGCGUUAUCCGGAAUUAUUGGGCGUAAAGCGCGCGUAGGCGGUUUUUUAAGUCUGAUGUGAAAGCCCACGGCUCAACCGUGGAGGGUCAUUGGAAACUGGAAAACUUGAGUGCAGAAGAGGAAAGUGGAAUUCCAUGUGUAGCGGUGAAAUGCGCAGAGAUAUGGAGGAACACCAGUGGCGAAGGCGACUUUCUGGUCUGUAACUGACGCUGAUGUGCGAAAGCGUGGGGAUCAAACAGGAUUAGAUACCCUGGUAGUCCACGCCGUAAACGAUGAGUGCUAAGUGUUAGGGGGUUUCCGCCCCUUA